This 706-nucleotide transfer RNA is filed under the name Acinetobacter junii. RNAcentral's name for it is "partial 16S-23S ribosomal RNA intergenic spacer". The stretch from base 60 to 133 matches the Rfam family "tRNA". Lineage: Bacteria; Pseudomonadati; Pseudomonadota; Gammaproteobacteria; Moraxellales; Moraxellaceae. The record is from RNAcentral.
ACGAAAGAUUGGUGACCGGUAAGAAUCCACAACAAGUUGUUCUUCGAAGAUGUAUCUGAGGGUCUGUAGCUCAGUUGGUUAGAGCACACGCUUGAUAAGCGUGGGGUCACAAGUUCAAGUCUUGUCAGACCCACCACUACUGACGAAGUGAUGAAUAAUCACAAGCUGCUAGAUAAAAAGAUAUGUCGUUCAUUAUGAUUAAAGCUGGGGACUUAGCUUAGUUGGUAGAGCGCCUGCUUUGCACGCAGGAGGUCAGGAGUUCGACUCUCCUAGUCUCCACCAAAUUCGAGGGUAAACAAAGCAACGCUUUGUCCGAGAAUUUAAGCAAACAGCUAUGCUGUGCGCAGGCACACAUAGAACGAAGCUUGGAGCUAAAGAUUACAGAACUUAGUAAGCAAAUAGCUUCUUAACUUCUGUGAUUUAUCACAGUUUACUACGCACCGACGAGGUGGUAGUUAAUCAUUAACAGAUUAGAAAAUUGAGUCUGAAAUAAAUUGUUCAAACUCGAUUAAAUAGGAAGAUAACAAGUAAUUGUUAAAUUAAUAUUUAAUCUGAGAACUAGCAAAAACACUGAAUCAAGCGUUUUGGUAUAUGAAUUUAGAUUGAAGCUGUAUGGUGAUUAAAUUCACAGACAACAAACCAGUAGCAAUUAAGUUUGCAACGAUAACACUCACUUGUAUGUGUUAACGACUGUUUGGGGUUGUAU